RNAcentral lists this ribosomal RNA (497 nucleotides) under uncultured bacterium. Its description in RNAcentral is "partial 16S ribosomal RNA". It matches the Rfam family "Bacterial small subunit ribosomal RNA", at positions 28 to 507 of the family's 1533-position model. The record is from RNAcentral.
GAUGAACGCUGGCGGCGUGCCUAAUACAUGCAAGUCGAGCGAACAGACGAGGAGCUUGCUCCUCUGACGUUAGCGGCGGACGGGUGAGUAACACGUGGAUAACCUACCUAUAAGACUGGGAUAACUUCGGGAAACCGGAGCUAAUCCCGGAUAAUAUAUUGAACCGCAUGGUUCAAUAGUGAAAGUCGGUUUUGCUGUCUCUUCUAGAUGGAUCCGCGCCGCAUUAGCUAGUUGGUAAGGUAACGGCCUACCACGGCAACGAUGCGUAGCCGACCUGAGAGAGGGAUAGGCCGCACGGGAGGUGGAACACGGUCCAGACUCCUACGGGAGGCAGCAGUAGGGAAUGUUCCGCAAUAGGCGGAAGCAUGACGGAGCAGCGCCGCGUGAGUGAUGAAGGUCUUCGGAUCGUGAAACUCGGUUAUGAGGGAAGAACAGAUGUGUAAGUAACUGUGCACGUCUUGACGGUACCGAGUCAGAAAGCCACGGCUAACUACGUG